CAGCCGCCGCGGUAAUACGAAGGGUGCAAGCGUUACUCGGAAUUACUGGGCGUAAAGCGUGCGUAGGUGGUGGUUUAAGUCCGUUGUGAAAGCCCUGGGCUCAGCCUGGGAAUUGCAGUGGAUACUGGGUCACUAGAGUGUGGUAGAGGAUAGUGGAAUUUCCGGUGUAGCAGUGAAAUGCGUAGAGAUCGGAAGGAACAUCUGUGGCGAAGGCGACUAUCUGGGCCAACACUGACACUGAGGCACGAAAGCGUGGGGAGCAAACAGGAUUAGAUACCCCGGUAGUCCCUGUCUCUUAUAC
RNAcentral lists this ribosomal RNA (301 nucleotides) under uncultured bacterium. RNAcentral describes it as "partial 16S ribosomal RNA". It matches the Rfam family "Bacterial small subunit ribosomal RNA", at positions 509 to 807 of the family's 1533-position model. The record is from RNAcentral.